UACAGAGGGUGCAAGCGUUGUUCGGAAUUAUUGGGCGUAAAGCGCGUGUAGGCGGCUUUGCAAGUCGGGUGUGAAAGCCCUCAGCUCAACUGAGGAAGUGCGCCCGAAACUGCAGAGCUUGAGUGCCGGAGAGGGUGGCGGAAUUCCCCAAGUAGAGGUGACAUUCGUAGAUAUGGGGAGGAACACCGGUGGCGAAGGCGGCCACCUGGACGGUAACUGACGCUGAGACGCGAAAGCGUGGGUAGCAAACAGG
RNAcentral lists this ribosomal RNA (253 nucleotides) under uncultured bacterium. Its description in RNAcentral is "partial 16S ribosomal RNA". It matches the Rfam family "Bacterial small subunit ribosomal RNA", at positions 524 to 776 of the family's 1533-position model. The record is from RNAcentral.